Molecule: ribosomal RNA, 371 nt
Filed under: uncultured bacterium
Lineage: Bacteria
Description: bacterial SSU rRNA
Rfam family: Bacterial small subunit ribosomal RNA
Source: RNAcentral
GAAGGGGGCUAGCGUUGCUCGGAAUUACUGGGCGUAAAGGGCGCGUAGGCGGACAGUUUAGUCAGAGGUGAAAGCCCAGGGCUCAACCUUGGAAUUGCCUUUGAUACUGGCUGUCUUGAGUUCGGGAGAGGUGAGUGGAAUGCCGAGUGUAGAGGUGAAAUUCGUAGAUAUUCGGCGGAACACCAGUGGCGAAGGCGACUCACUGGCCCGAUACUGACGCUGAGGCGCGAAAGCGUGGGGAGCAAACAGGAUUAGAUACCCUGGUAGUCCACGCUGUAAACGAUGAGUGCUAGUUGUCGGCAUGCAUGCAUGUCGGUGACGCAGCUAACGCAUUAAGCACUCCGCCUGGGGAGUACGGUCGCAAGAUUAAA